Molecule: small nuclear RNA, 72 nt
Filed under: Meriones unguiculatus (Mongolian gerbil)
Lineage: Eukaryota; Metazoa; Chordata; Mammalia; Rodentia; Muridae
Source: RNAcentral
CACUGUAACAAUAGAGAUUAGCUUGGCCCCUGCACAAGAAUGAUACAAACUCUUGAAGUAUUCCAUGUUUUU